UACGGAGGGGGCUAGCGUUGUUCGGAAUUACUGGGCGUAAAGCGCACGUAGGCGGCUUUGUAAGUUAGAGGUGAAAGCCCGGGGCUCAACUCCGGAAUUGCCUUUAAAACUGCAUCGCUAGAAUUGUGGAGAGGUGAGUGGAAUUCCGAGUGUAGAGGUGAAAUUCGUAGAUAUGACUUAGAACACCAAUUGCGAAGGCAGCUCGCUGGGACGUAACUGACACUGAGGCGCGAAAGCGUGGGGAGCAAACAGG
RNAcentral lists this ribosomal RNA (253 nucleotides) under uncultured bacterium. RNAcentral describes it as "partial 16S ribosomal RNA". It matches the Rfam family "Bacterial small subunit ribosomal RNA", at positions 524 to 776 of the family's 1533-position model. The record is from RNAcentral.